GCUUACGGCCAUACCAACCUGAGCACGCCCGACCUCGUCUGAUCUCGGAAGCUAAGCAGGGCUGGGCUUGGUUAGUACUUGGAUGGGGGAAUACCUGGUGCUGUAAGCC
This 109-nucleotide ribosomal RNA is filed under the name Maylandia zebra (zebra mbuna). The record is from RNAcentral. Lineage: Eukaryota; Metazoa; Chordata; Actinopteri; Cichliformes; Cichlidae.